Molecule: ribosomal RNA, 469 nt
Filed under: uncultured bacterium
Lineage: Bacteria
Description: partial 16S ribosomal RNA
Rfam family: Bacterial small subunit ribosomal RNA
Source: RNAcentral
GACGAACGCUGGCGGCGUGCUUAACACAUGCAAGUCGAACGGAAGGGCCCUUCUUUUGUUGGUUGCUCGAGUGACGAACGGGUGAGUAACACGUGAGUAACCUUCCCUUUCCUUUUGGCUUACUUCAGGAAACUGUAGCUCAUACCGGAUAUGAUCUCCUCCUGCAUGGUGGGGGUUGGCAAGUUUCGGCGGUUGGGGAUUGACUUGCGGCUUAUCAGCUUGUUGGUGGGGUGGUGGCUUACCAAUGCUUUGACGGGUAGCCGGCCUGGGGGGGCGGCCGGGCAAAUUGGGGCCGGGAUAAGGCCCAGACUCCUACGGGAGGGAGGAGGGGGGAAUAUUGGAAAAUGGGGGGAAGGCUGAUGCAGGAAAGCCGCGUGGGGGAUGACGGGCUUCGGGUUGUAAACCGCUUUUAGCAGGGGCGAAGGUGGGGGUGACGGUACCGGGAGAAGAAGCACCGGCUAACUACGUG